This 182-nucleotide unclassified non-coding RNA is filed under the name Amphimedon queenslandica. RNAcentral's name for it is "leucine-rich repeat-containing protein 40-like, transcript variant X1". Lineage: Eukaryota; Metazoa; Porifera; Demospongiae; Haplosclerida; Niphatidae. The record is from RNAcentral.
UAGUCAAAGUGAUGGGGUAGGUAAGGAGGGGACUGUACCAGAAUCCUUAUUGAAAGAAGCUCGUAAAACCGGUUCACUGAACCUGUCAAACAGGGGCAUUAGUGUUAUUCCUCCUAAACUGUGAAGACUCAAUAUUGAUCCUCCUGAUGGUAGUACUGUUUCAUUUGAGAGAUGGUGGGACC